GUUUCGAUGUUUAAGUACAACUCGAUAACAUCUUAUAUCAACAUUAAUUGAGUUGUACAAAAUAACAUAAAUCUUUCGGAUUUUCAUGAAGGCCACAUACAUCUGUCUUUUAAUAAAGACAUGCAUAUUUGGCAAUAAUUGGAUGUUUUUUUAUCAUUGCUAAAAUUUAAAUACUUCAAAUUAAAUAAUCUAAUUAUCUAGUAUCAAUUUAUUAAAUUUUCAUUAGUGCCUCUUCAUCAACAUCCUUGAGAAAUUUAUAAAUGUGAAAUGAUGCGUGCAGACAAAUUCUAUCUGUCUAAUGGUAUAUGAAAACAACAUCUACACUGUUAAGCAAUUCGUUGACAUCAGAAAAUAUGGUGAAAAUAUAAUCUUAUUAAAAUACAUAUUCUAUGUCCACAAUUUGAAAUCAAAAGAUCUGACAAAACUCUGUUCUAGUUUCUUUUUUUAAAGACAUGACAGGAUUCUGAUUGUUCAGUUAUACAACUUAAAAUCUGUCGACAAGAAUUCCAUUGGCUGAUAUAAAAAUUACGACGAUUGAAAGCAGAACGGAGUGGUCUCUAAUCCUUGUAAACCAAGUUUUGGGCAUAGGAUAUGUAUGUUAAUCAGAUUGUUAAAAAAUAGGAACUUCAUUUUACUAUAUCUCUCUAAAUGCAUACCCGUCAUUUGUUCAAAAUUUCGUUGAGAUCAUUGUGGCAAGGCAAGAUUUCGUUUUUUAUUACUGUUAAUUCAGAAAUUAUUGAGAGAAAUGCGACAGAGUUGUAAACGCAAUAAUUAAAACUUGCAUUUUGAAAUAUUUUGUAUGAAUUAAACAGGAUUUUUCUCAAAAUCGUAAAAAUUAAAAUCGCAUUUAAGUCUAAAAUGACAAAAUGGCAAUAAUAAAUGCAUGCAAUAAUUUCUGAAUGUACAGUAUUUUUGAUAUCAUUAAGUCCCAAUAUUUAUACAAAAUGAUAUGUAACAGCAUAUCACUGUUAAUUCUUACAUAGAGAAAUGCUCUCAUUUAUUUUCUUUUCUUUCCUUGCAAAGACAAAUAUGUCUCAUGUUCUAACCAAUCUUUUUACAAUGUACAAUAAAAAAAAGACUGUAUGGUGACCUAUUAUUGUUCACUUCUACUUAAUGUGUUCUAUUGUGGGGAGUUGUCUCAUUGGCUAUCAUACCAUAACUUAUUUUUACAGAAGCUGAGUUACCUCCAAUAAUAACAGGGAUACAGUUUAAAAUGUUCCUUCCCUGACAAUGGCUAAGGGGGGACAAUUCUUUUUUUACUACAGAAGCUCAACAAACCAAGCUUAAUGUCAUUUCAAAAACCAGACAAAUAUUAAAUGCUAGCUUCUUCACUAUAUUGUUACCACAAGAAAAUUAAAAUUUAUUUUUGACUGGGCAUAAAACAUGGCUGAAAAUGUACUACAAUGUAUGUCAAUGCACAGAAAUACUUCAUGAAAAAAG
This 1440-nucleotide long non-coding RNA is filed under the name Mytilus galloprovincialis (Mediterranean mussel). Lineage: Eukaryota; Metazoa; Mollusca; Bivalvia; Mytilida; Mytilidae. The record is from RNAcentral.